CUCCUCAUUUGCUUAUAAUGUCUCACUUUCUACCCUCACUCUUCACCAGCUCCCAUGGCGAGCCGUUGCUCUGUCGCCGCUCUGAAACGCCGGUUCCCUCUUUUCGACACGUGGAGGCUGACAUCAUCACUCACCUCUUCCUCUUCCUCUUCCUCUUCCUCUUCACUGGCCGGCGAGCUCAAGAGCCAGAUUUCCAAGCUCAAAAGUCCGGGCCGGACCGCAACCGCCGUGGUUCAAGAUUGGGACACGUGGAGGCUGACGUCAUCACGCACCUCUUCCUCUUCCUUUUCACUGGUCGGCGAGCUCAAGAGCCAGAUUUCCAAGCUCAAAAGUCCGGGCCGGACCGCAACCGCCGUGGUUCAAGAUUGGGUCAGCCAAGGCCACAAGGUCUCCGUCCCCCAGCUCCGCCGCAUUUCCAUCC
Molecule: long non-coding RNA, 421 nt
Filed under: Fragaria vesca (wild strawberry)
Lineage: Eukaryota; Viridiplantae; Streptophyta; Magnoliopsida; Rosales; Rosaceae
Description: long non-coding RNA (FVES_LNC002346)
Source: RNAcentral